UACGUAGGGUGCGAGCGUUGUCCGGAAUUAUUGGGCGUAAAGGGCUCGUAGGCGGUUUGUCGCGUCGGGAGUGAAAUCCACUGGCUUAACUGGUGGCUUGCUUUCGAUACGGGCAGACUGGAGGUAUGCAGGGGAGAACGGAAUUCCUGGUGUAGCGGUGAAAUGCGCAGAUAUCAGGAGGAACACCGGUGGCGAAGGCGGGUUGCUGGGCUGACGCUGACGCUGAGGCGCGAAAGCUAGGGGAGCGAACGGG
RNAcentral lists this ribosomal RNA (253 nucleotides) under uncultured bacterium. RNAcentral describes it as "partial 16S ribosomal RNA". It matches the Rfam family "Bacterial small subunit ribosomal RNA", at positions 524 to 776 of the family's 1533-position model. The record is from RNAcentral.